RNAcentral lists this transfer RNA (72 nucleotides) under Chelonia mydas (Green sea turtle). It matches the Rfam family "tRNA". From Rfam's summary of the family: Transfer RNA (tRNA) molecules are approximately 80 nucleotides in length. Their secondary structure includes four short double-helical elements and three loops (D, anti-codon, and T loops). The record is from Rfam by way of RNAcentral. Lineage: Eukaryota; Metazoa; Chordata; Testudines; Cheloniidae.
GGCAGUGUGGUCCAAUAGGUGGGACAUUGAACUAGGAGUUAGGAGACCUGAGUUUAAUUCUCAGCUCUGCCA